AAACAUCAAGCUAGGAUCCAACACAAUACUCUACAACCUAGAAGAGGGAUGCCGUAAUCUAGUUGCAGAAUAUUUGAAGGUAGGUAAAUGACGAUUUACCAAUUUCCACCAUGAAAAACGAAAAAGAAGUUUAAGUUUUAAAUGAAUUGAAACUCCUAGAUCUUUUGAGAUUCAUUGAACUUUUCAAUGGCAUGUUUAAUCUUGAUUAUGCCCUACCAUUUGUGACUGGGAUGCCGAGGAUCACAAACAAGGUGUGAAUAACCAUACGAAACACAUGGUGCACCCAAUGCUACUAUCACCUAAUCAAUGUUCCAGUUAGCCACACACGCUCCAUUGAUCUAUGAUAAGCAUCGAGCCACCCUUUGUCACCAAUGUCAUCCCCAAAUUAGUGUCCCGGUUAGCCACACAUGCUCCACUCACGUUUGACAAGGGUACGAAGUGUAAUCCCAUGUAUUGGUAUACAAUUUUGAUGGGUUUUGGUCAUAAGACAUCCUAUGCUCAUACAAACCCUAAUGCUUGGAUCUAGGUUUCUCUAUUGUACAUGCUUUGAAUCCAAGACUAUAAACCCUAAUUCUAGCAUAUGGAAAUCAAUAUUAACAUAUAAUUAGGUUUAAGAUAUUACCUUGAUUGUUAUGUAGCAAUAACAAUCCCAAUUCCUCCUUGAAUUGACUUUGGAAGGCUUAGAGUCACAAGUGUCACUCCUCUAAUGGUUCACAAACACCAUAAGCAAGAGGAUGAAGAGGAGAGAGGUUAGAGGCUGCCCAAAAACGUGUGAAACCCUAGCAAGAAGCUUAGCUACGUUUUGGUCCUUAAGGGGUCUAUACAUAGUGAGGCUAUUAGGGUUAUCUAUCAAGGAAACCCUAAUUUGGUUGCUUAAGCCCUAAACAACCCAUAGACUCCUUUAAUCAAGCCCUUGGACGAUUUCCUUAUGGGCUUCCCAUAAGAAUUCAUCCACCUCUUGAUUUAAGACAAUCCAUGGCCCAAAUUGCAAUUAUCUUAUAAUUACAAUUCCAGUCCCUUAAGUUUAAUUAAUCUCUUUUAGUCAAAAAACUAAUUACCAAUUAAUUAUUGACUAAUAUUAGUUAAACAAUAUGAUUUCUCCUUUAAUAUAUUAUUCCCAUAAUAUAUUAAUAAAUCAUAUUUAAUCCUUUCUCUCCAUAAUUCAUCCUAUCAAGUUGCUUUGGUGAAGGCAACCCAAAAGGACCAUGCACCAUCGGGUCAAGUACAUACCAAAAUAGUUAUGGACUUAGACACUAAUCCAACAGUCUCCCACUUGGAUAAGUCUAAUAACUAUUAUGCGUAUGACUUCAGAUCCUGAUCUGCAAUCGUAGCUUUCCAAAGCCGCUGUCAACUCUGAUCCUAUCAGAUACGCGUGUCCUUAGAUAAGGGAUCAUAUAUUCCUCCAUUCUAGAUAUCAUAUGAGAUAUGAUUUCAAAUCAUUCUCUUUGUACUAUAUCUCGAUUCCCGAUUUAUGACGACUGACUAAUUGAACAAAUCAAAUUAGCCCUAGCCCGGCCGAGCAUUUACGUUUGUCAUCACUAAAUCAUCGAGGGGCCCAAAGAUAUCGCUUUUAUCCUACUUUGGAUAAAAGGAACGGAUAAACUUUGAUACAAUGCUUGCUUGCACUCACUCACCGAAUCACACACAACAAUAUGUUUUAUAACACCAAGUUACUAGUGCGUUUACAUAUUAUCAAUGUGCAACCGAUUUGCAAGAUACAACUCACACAUCUCGGUUUCAAGAAUAUAAGAUGUUAUCGUCUCACCAAUCACUCGUGAUACAAUUCAUGGAGUGAUCCAAGUGAGCGUGGGUUUAAUCCAAUGCUCAAAUCAUAUUCAUAAGCACUCAUGAACGUUGCAGCAAACAUUUGCUUAUGUCUAAUACUCUUUUAGACAAUCCACACACCAAUUCACGACAGUCUUCAUUCAUAUCUACUUCCAACAUAUGAACGACUGUGGCCCGUUCGAAUAAUUCGAUUAUUCUUAAUAAACUCAAUUAUUCUGGAAGUCAAAACAUGCAAAUGUGAAACACAAGAAUAAUACUAAUCCCAUAUGGCCUCAAACCUUUGAGCAUAAAUAAAACACCUUUUAUUUAUCACCAUAUCGAUUACUCAUUAUUUGUCGUUUCGGGUAAUCAACUUCUUACUUGAAUUAUUACACUUGUCCCAUGCUCCUAGCAUGCACACAAUGUUUACCUAUGGUUCUUACUUUGUGAAAUAGAUCAAAUUGAACACAUUUCCAAUCAUUCUCAUUUCACAACUCCAAAUCCUUUUUCAUAAGUGUGAGAAUAUCAAAUUCUUGUUACUUAUAAAAUAUGCUAGAUUCUAACAUUCUAUGCAAUGAUCCUUUCGUAAUGUCACUGCACCAAAGUCACAAAGACUAUUGCCAAUGAUAUUACAAAGUCCUCUAUCGGAGAUUGUUACAAGACAAUUCCUUAGAUAUGAUGUCUCUCACUCAAAGUACAUUCCUUUGAACAUCCUUUUGCAUAAAAGUUUCUAAUCUAGACAUAGAUUUUCAAUAUUCAAUUCCCAAUAUGGACACGUUUCCAUAUUUUCCAUAUGACAACUCAUUCUUAAUAGAAUCUUAUCUAUUCGUAAUGAUGUCGAUAUGGUCCAUCCAAUAUGGAAACAUUUCCAUAAUUUCCAUAUGACAACUCAUUCUUAAUAGAAUCUUUUCUAUUCAUAAUAAUGUCGAUAUGGUCCAUCCAAUACCAUGCUUCCAACUACUCACAAGCAACCAAUCCUCGUCAAACUUUGGAUUGUCCUUUGAUAGUUGUUUAAUUAUUUUAGUCAAAACCAAUUCUAGUCCCUUUUUCCUCAAAAUGCGCUCGAGAUUUGGAAAAUUUUAGAAUUGUCAAAUAUCAAAGCAUUUGCAAUCGAUCCUAUACCCGAAGCGUAUGGGACACGACACAUAAUGUUUUAUUUGCUAUGUUCUCAAAAUUCGAAUUGUGAAGAGGAAUGUCGUAAUCAUAAUCGAAAUUUUAAGAACACACUAUGUACCUUUGACUAAAUUUAUUAACAUUUCUCAACCUAAGCCUUUAGAUUUGAAAUGAAGCAUAAUAUUCUCUCCCUUAAUUAUAGCAAAACAACUUUACAACCCUUACGACUUUGCAAGGUAUAACUCUUGUUUUCUAUAAUUAAUAUUGCCAACUUGCAAUACGUGCCUUAAUAAUCAUACAAUCAUAACAUUUAUGCUCCCACUAUCAUGAUGAUUAUUAUAAAACAUAACACUUAUGCUCCCACUAGCUUCGACAUGUAUUCAUAAACAUCUUAACUUUCAGAAAAACAAUGCUUAUUGAAUUUCUUAAGUUCAUGUUUCUAAUACUUAGUGCUUUGAUAAUCUUUUAUCAAGGCUUCUUGAACUUAUACACCUUUGCCUUAGAUAGUUCAUAUGUGUGUCUAAACAAUUAAGACUAAUUGCCAAACCUCACAAUUCAAAUUAUGGAAAGGGAUACCGUAACCAUAAUCGAAUUCGAGAAUGCAAUUUUACAAUCACUAUCUUCUUAAAAUCUUUCUUAGUGAAAGCAUUUCCUCACAAUCAUUUUCAUGAAGGAGGAAAUCUAAUAACAUUUACAUUUAAACGGUGUAUUUGUUCCUAUCCAUGUGAAUUUGGUAAAACCAAGGUUUACGACAAAUUCAAACUCAUAUGGAUCGAACUUUCUUAAUCUCGAUUUCUUGCCUUAUGGUAGCACAGCUGCCCACCAUGUCUUCCAAGUAGUUAAGCAGCUCACCUUUUCCUAUCAAUGUACUUUCCAUUGAUCAAGGUCCUUGCCUUUUAUGCAUUCAAAUGAGAACUCAUAGGACUCACAUGCAUAAUUAACUCGAUUGGAUUGGCACAGAAACAAAAUAAUGUCAACACGAUAGGUUGUAAACCUCAACUCGUGUGCUAGUGAUGAUCGAUAAGGUUUAUUUGAUUUGUUCUUGAAACCUUUCAAGACCAUUAAGACUCCCACUGACUCCUUGACAUAUAAGAUUCUCUUGUCAAUAAACAUUUCUUGACAAACAAAUAUUCAAGAGUUAGUGUAGCUUUUAUCAAAACACUUCAUAAAUUGGUCCUAGUUGGUCUUUGUCUUAUCCAAGACAUCACAACUUUCCACAUUUGAUGAAUGUUAUAAACCUUCUUAAUACUUAUCACUCAAUGUCACAAUCUUAACUCUAAGACUUGUUUUGGAACGAAGUAUGAUUGACUUCUUGAUUUAACCAUUUCUUCAAUUCUUGAUUCCUCUUCUUAGACAUACAAUUGUACUAAGACUCACUUAGAGGAUCAAUUGAGAUAUGGUUCUUAAUCAUUAAGACCUAUCAUAAAGCAUAAAAGGUACUCUCCCUUCUUCUUAGAAUGGAGAAACUUUUAUCUUUCUGCCUACUUGAUUCUUCUUAUUCGUUCUGCUAUUGAUUUAAACCUUUUAAACAAUUCAGAAUUACACCUAAUCAUGUAAGUAUAAUCAUAUUUACUAAACCUUUAGUAAAUCAUGACGAAUAUCUUUGUUACUCUUAUGGUGGACUUGAUCAACACGCAACUUUGUGUAUUCGAUCUCCUAGUCCUUCACUUGACACUUUGUCAAUGAAUUAGUCUAAUUUCCAAAUAUGAAAUUUCUCAUUCAUCGUGCAACCAAGUUGCAUGAUUCCAAGUUUCUGUCCAAUUGAAACUUGGGCGAUGAGAAACUCUCCCUAUUUGGUAAAUUCUCGACUUUCCAUAAAUAACAUAAUAAGAACCAAAUCCAUUAUUGCUAAUAAUAGAAACAUUCAAACAUCAAUUUUUCAUAUACGCCAUUGCAAGGAUAAAUAAAUAAUAUAAAAUCAAAAUUUAUUUUAUUGCGGAAAAAUUUUGUCCUUACAAUGCAAUUCAUUGAAAAACUAUGCUAAUACAUCUUUCUUAGCAAUCUAAUUCUAACUCUAAGUAGUAGCUCAAGAAUCUAAUCUUCGAGAAAUGCGAUCGAAAUCCAUUCCUUCACGGUUAGAUUCUGCUCACUUCUUCCCUUAAGCUUCCUUUCUUUUCUUCGAUCCUACAAAACAUCAAUUGUAAUCUUAUCACAUUAUGUAUUAAGAAUCUAGAAUAGAAGCUUAAAAGAGUUAGUUAAUGGAUUUUACCUAUAUUAGAGCCAUACGUUUCGACUCUCCCAUCUCUUAGAUCUCUUAGGUAAAUGGGGCAGCUUCGUCUCCAAUGCCCUUUCUCUUGGCAAUAAAAGCAAAUUGACUCUUUUGGAACAUGACAUGGAACUACUUCAGACAUUGCCUUUCUCUUAUGAUCAAACUUUUCGAUCAUAGCAUGUCUUUCGUUGCCAUUGUCUAUAUCCAUAGAGGUCUUGAAGGCAGAUUCACCAAUCAACUUUGCUUUUCUAUUGCGCCAAACCAUUGCUGAUUCAGCAGCAAUAAGCAUAUAGGUGAGAUCUAUAAGGGUCACGUCGCGGUUCAUCAUAUAGUACUCUCUUACGAACUCACUAUAUGAGUUAGGAAGUGACUGAAGAACCCAAUCAACAGCCAUUUCCUCACAGACAACGGAUCCCAACAUUCUUAACCUAUCAAUGUGUGACUUCAUCCCUAGGACGUGUGCACACACCGACUUUCCUUCUUUAUGUUUACUUGCCAAAAGGGCUUGAGUGAUCUUGAACUUUUCAAGCCUUUGAACUUGUGGGUUAGGGAGAAUAAUUGGAGGAGGUGGAGGAAGUGAAGCAUGAUUUCUUGUUCCUCGAUCGAAUCGUGGAAUAUCAUCUUCAUGUGGAAUGCUUGUUCCACGGGAUUUGGGAAGACCAUAGUUGUCGAACUUUGACAUCUACAAAACGGGAGAAAACGAAUUCAAGUUAGUUGAUUGAUUGAGUCCUUAGUAAAUCACCCAAAUGAGAUACUAAGGCUAGGACCCAACACAAUAUUCUACAACUCGGGAGAGGGAUGCCGUAACCCAAAUUGCAGAACAUUUGAAGGUAAGUGAAUGACGAUUCACUAAUUUCCACCAUGAAAAACGAAAAAGAAAUUUAAGUUUUAAAUCUAUGAAAACUCCUAGAUCCUUUGAGAUUCAUUGAACAUUUCAAUGGCAUGUUUAAAUCUCGAUAUGCCCCUCUUGUUUGUGACUGGGAUGCCGAGGAUCACAAAGCGGGUGUGAAUAACCAUGCAAACUUACAUGGUGCCCUCACAUGUUACAGUCACCUAUUCGAUGUGCCGGUAAACCACACACGCUCCACCGAACUAUGACAAACAUUGAGUCACCCUUUGCUACCUUUGCUUAGAACCAUUUAGUGUGCCGGUAAACCACACACGCUCCACUAACGUCUUCGCAAGGGCACAAAGUGUAAUUUCAUGGAAUUGCAUCAAUUCACUUUUGCCUAAGUAACUAAGAUUGGGAAUUUUAUGAAAACAUUUAGUUACUUUUAUACUUCAUUAUACUUAUAAUGGAAGGUUUCGUCCUAUCCUACCCGUUCGGCUAACGACCCUCCACUAGUCAAGAGUGCGGUGGGUAAGAGUGGAUACCCAUUCAAUCGCCAUUUUAUAGGCAAUUUCCUUAAACACCCCUUAUAGACCAGCUUCGUGAAUGAGGCCUACUAACGGUAAGACUGACUUUUACUCAUACAUAUAUAUAAUGUUAGACUUUUAAUGUUAUAUAUAGUAUAGGGUGUAUUUUACACUUUUAAAAUACUAGGUGGUCAAAUUUAACAAUUAUACUUUUAAUUCAAUUAAAUUGUAAACCUAAACUUUUAUGGAUUUAUUAAACCUCUUUUAAUUAUACACCUUAAUUAAUUAAUAAAACCAUAAGGGUGUGAUUUGAACUUUUUCAAAACUAUACUAGAGUUUUAGAAUUUAACAUUCCUAAUUAAACUUUUAAUCAACUUUUAAAUUCCAAAACUUGAGGGCAAGUUUUGAAACAUUUCAACACAUUAGGGUUUAGAAUUUAAAUAUACAUCAAAAUUAAACCAUUUAAUCAAAAUUUAAAUUCCAAAACUUGAGGGCAAGUUUUGAAACCUUUUUCAAAACAUUAGGGUUUCAACUAUUUAAAUUUCAAAACAACAAAACUUUUGGGUUCAAAUUUAAACUAUAAAACCUAAAGGGGAAAAUAUGAAACUUUUCAUAACAACAAGGAUCAAAUAACAAAUAAUCUAAAUUAACAUUUAAUCACAUAAUUAUCCAUAUUUGAUUUAUUUAAUGAUUUCUUGCAAAACAAUUUAUCAAUUUAAUCAAAAUAAUUAAUCAAUUAUCACAUAAGGAAACAAUUAUCUUAUUAAUUGAUAAAUAUCUUCAAUUAGAUCAAAAAUAUAGUCAAAUAUAUCAUAUAAUCGGAUUAAUAUUGAUCUAACAUGAUAAGGUAACUAUCCAAAAGCAAAAACAGCAAGAAAUCCCGAAGUACCCUCCUUCUGACGAGUUGACUCGUCGAGUCAGCCUUGGACUCGUCGAGUCACCUUGGACUCGGCGAGUUCAGCCAUGGACUCGGCGAGUCCAGCCUCCAGAAACCCAAAAAACGAAUUUUCCAGUUAUACAAUGCAUCAAUACAAUUGAAACCAAGCUAGGCUCUGAUACCACUGAUGGGUUUUGGUCAUAAGACAUCCUAUGUGCUCAUACAAACCCUAAUGCUUGGAUCUAGGUUUCUCUAUUGUACAUGCUUUGAAUCCAAGACUAUAAACCCUAAUUCUAGCAUAUGGAAAUCAAUAUUAACAUAUAAUUAGGUUUAAGAUAUUACCUUGAUUGUUAUGUAGCAAUAACAAUCCCAAUUCCUCCUUGAAUUGACUUUGGAAGGCUUAGAGUCACAAGUGUCACUCCUCUAAU
Molecule: long non-coding RNA, 7747 nt
Filed under: Lactuca sativa (garden lettuce)
Lineage: Eukaryota; Viridiplantae; Streptophyta; Magnoliopsida; Asterales; Asteraceae
Description: long non-coding RNA (LSAT_LNC002338)
Source: RNAcentral